GGGUAUUCAGGAGUGAGCCAGUCAACUCUGAGCCGAGCCAUGUCAGCUGUGUGGAAAGCAAUCAUCCCAAUGUCAUCCAGGUACAUCACAUUCCAACAUUAAAGUGCAAUUUGCAGCGAGAGCUGGUUUCCCUGAUGUAAUCGGAACUAUUGACUGCACACAUAUUGUUAUAAAGGCGCGAUCA
This is a long non-coding RNA of Thalassophryne amazonica, 184 nucleotides long. RefSeq lists it as uncharacterized. The transcript has 4 exons. The record is from RefSeq and is a predicted model, not a curated record. Lineage: Eukaryota; Metazoa; Chordata; Actinopteri; Batrachoidiformes; Batrachoididae.